GCAAUUUCCAGCAGUGCUAUAUCUAAGGCUGUAUCUGGGGCCAGUGCAGGGGAUUACAGUGAUGCCAUUGAGACCCUGCUUACAGCCAUUGCUGUAAUUAAACAGUCCCGUGUAGCAAAUGAUGAGCGGUGUCGGGUCCUUAUCUCUUCACUUAAGGAUUGCCUUCAUGGCAUUGAAGCCAAGUCUUACAGCAUGGGCACUGGCAGCAGCAGCAGUUCCUCAAGAAAAAGACAUCGGUCACGGGAUAGGUCACCUAGUCGGUCACGUGAGAGCAGUAGGAGGCACCGAGAGGUGGUUCAUAAUGAAGAUCGACAUGAGGACUAUUUCCAAGAAAGAAGCCGGGAGCACGAGAGACACAGAGACAGGGACAGAGAAAGAGAUCGGCAUCAUUGAGAGAAGUGAGAACAUUUUUGAGAUAGGGCAAGGGAG
This 429-nucleotide long non-coding RNA is filed under the name Notechis scutatus (mainland tiger snake). RNAcentral describes it as "lncRNA (ENSNSUG00000003429.1)". Lineage: Eukaryota; Metazoa; Chordata; Lepidosauria; Squamata; Elapidae. The record is from RNAcentral.